AAAUACAACUUUCAACAACGGAUCUCUUGGCUCUCGCAUCGAUGAAGAACGCAGCGAAAUGCGAUAAGUAAUGUGAAUUGCAGAAUUCAGUGAAUCAUCGAAUCUUUGAACGCACCUUGCGCCCCUUGGUAUUCCGAGGGGCAUGCCUGUUUGA
Molecule: ribosomal RNA, 154 nt
Filed under: Phellinus turbinatus
Lineage: Eukaryota; Fungi; Basidiomycota; Agaricomycetes; Hymenochaetales; Hymenochaetaceae
Description: 5.8S ribosomal RNA
Rfam family: 5.8S ribosomal RNA
About the family: 5.8S ribosomal RNA (5.8S rRNA) is a component of the large subunit of the eukaryotic ribosome. It is transcribed by RNA polymerase I as part of the 45S precursor that also contains 18S and 28S rRNA.
Source: RNAcentral